Cinara cedri is the source of this 1007-nucleotide non-coding RNA. The record is from the annotation of a GenBank genome assembly. NCBI's taxonomy places the organism in Eukaryota, Metazoa, Arthropoda, Insecta, Hemiptera, Aphididae.
AUAUUUGAUUAUACAAUUUAAAUUUGUAAUGAGAUCUAGUUUUACUGAAGAUUAGUCUAUAAUUAUUAAUUACCCUACUUAAAUAGUACAAUUCUAAAUUACUAUUAGAACUAUUUAACAUUUAUUUUUAAAGGAAACAAAUAUACCUUUUUUUCUCCCUUUUAGUAAAAAAAAAGUUUGAUAAUUUUCUGAUAUAACAAAUUCUUUACAGAAGUUGUCAAGUUUUUUCAGUUCGUUUACAAUUACUAGUGUUCGGUGAUGAAGCCCUGAGUCGUGCUCAGGUGUUUCGAUGGCAUAAAAAUUUUAAAAAUGGUCGGGGAUGAACCGCGAAGUGGGAGACCCGUUGAAGCUCGAACUGACAACAAUGUUCAGCGUGUGCGCACUCUCGUGCAUCGAGAUCGGCGUUAAACCGUUCGAAUGUUGGCUGAACUUAAUUUGAAACGAGAAACCGUCAGAAAAUUUUAACUGAUGAUUUGUCCAUGAAAAAGCUGUGUGCAAAGAUGGUAUCUUCAUCAUGAUAAUGCUCCACGCCAUCGUGCCUUCAGUGUGUCGCGAUUUUUGACCUCUAAGAACAUCGCAGUGUUGCCACAAGCGCCCUAUUCGCCGGAUAUGUCACCCUGCGACUUCUUUUUGUCCCCUCAAACAAAAUUGGCCGUGAAAGGAACGCAUUUUGAGUCCAUAACUGACAUCCAGAACGCCGUGACGCGAGGGUACUUCAGGACAUUCCAGUCGAAGCCUUCCAGAAAUGUUAUGAGAGCUGGAAAAAACGUUGGAACCAGUGUAUAGGGGUGGGAGGGGAGUACUUUGAAGGGGAUCACAUCGAUGUAUCUUAAUAUUUGAAUAUACGUAUUUUAUUGAAUUAGCCUCAUUACUUAUUGGUUAGACCUCGUAUAGUCUAAUUGUCGUUCUGUUUUUAACACAAUAAACGUAACUAAAACCUGGAACAAACUUCACCAGAAUGUAGUUUUCUGGGGAAUAGAAAGUAUUUUUUGAUUGUAGUCCUGAUG